GCCGGGUGCGGUGGCAUGUGCCUGUAAUCCAAGUCACUGGGAGGCUGAGGUUGGUGGAUCAAGUGAGCUGAGGAGCUCUGGGCUGCAGCACGCUAUGUCGAAACGGGUGUCCACGCUAAGUUCGUAUCGAUAUGGUGUUCCGGGGGAGCCCGGGACCACCAGGUUGUCUAAGGAGGGUGAACCGGCCCAGGUCGGAACGAAGCAGGUCAAAUCCCCCGUGCUGUCCAGUAGUGGGAUAAUACCUGUGAGUAGAUGCUGCAGUGCAGCCUUGGCAAAACAUCGAGACCUAAUCUUUU
This 296-nucleotide signal recognition particle RNA is filed under the name Oncorhynchus mykiss (rainbow trout). RNAcentral's name for it is "Metazoan signal recognition particle RNA (ENSOMYG00000052439.1)". It matches the Rfam family "Metazoan signal recognition particle RNA". From Rfam's summary of the family: The signal recognition particle (SRP) is a universally conserved ribonucleoprotein. It is involved in the co-translational targeting of proteins to membranes. Lineage: Eukaryota; Metazoa; Chordata; Actinopteri; Salmoniformes; Salmonidae. The record is from RNAcentral.